RNAcentral lists this ribosomal RNA (369 nucleotides) under uncultured Syntrophaceae bacterium. RNAcentral describes it as "bacterial SSU rRNA". It matches the Rfam family "Bacterial small subunit ribosomal RNA", at positions 1014 to 1382 of the family's 1533-position model. Lineage: Bacteria; Pseudomonadati; Thermodesulfobacteriota; Syntrophia; Syntrophales; Syntrophaceae. The record is from RNAcentral.
UGCCCUUCGGGGAACCCGGUGACAGGUGCUGCAUGGCUGUCGUCAGCUCGUGUCGUGAGAUGUUGGGUUAAGUCCCGCAACGAGCGCAACCCUUGUCUUUAAUUGCCAUCAUUUAGUUGGGCACUUUAAAGAGACUGCCGGUGUUAAGCCGGAGGAAGGUGGGGAUGACGUCAAGUCCUCAUGGCCUUUAUGCCCAGGGCUACACACGUGCUACAAUGGGCGGUACAAAGAGAAGCAACCUCGCGAGGGUGAGCAAAUCUCAAAAAGCCGUUCUCAGUUCGGAUCGAAGUCUGCAACCCGACUUCGUGAAGUUGGAUUCGCUAGUAAUCGCGCAUCAGCCAUGGCGCGGUGAAUACGUUCCCGGGCCUU